This 789-nucleotide ribosomal RNA is filed under the name Mycobacteroides abscessus. RNAcentral's name for it is "bacterial SSU rRNA". It matches the Rfam family "Bacterial small subunit ribosomal RNA", at positions 56 to 862 of the family's 1533-position model. The record is from RNAcentral. Lineage: Bacteria; Bacillati; Actinomycetota; Actinomycetes; Mycobacteriales; Mycobacteriaceae.
UGCAGUCGAACGGAAAGGCCCUUCGGGGUACUCGAGUGGCGAACGGGUGAGUAACACGUGGGUGAUCUGCCCUGCACUCUGGGAUAAGCCUGGGAAACUGGGUCUAAUACCGGAUAGGACCACACACUUCAUGGUGAGUGGUGCAAAGCUUUUGCGGUGUGGGAUGAGCCCGCGGCCUAUCAGCUUGUUGGUGGGGUAAUGGCCCACCAAGGCGACGACGGGUAGCCGGCCUGAGAGGGUGACCGGCCACACUGGGACUGAGAUACGGCCCAGACUCCUACGGGAGGCAGCAGUGGGGAAUAUUGCACAAUGGGCGCAAGCCUGAUGCAGCGACGCCGCGUGAGGGAUGACGGCCUUCGGGUUGUAAACCUCUUUCAGUAGGGACGAAGCGAAAGUGACGGUACCUACAGAAGAAGGACCGGCCAACUACGUGCCAGCAGCCGCGGUAAUACGUAGGGUCCGAGCGUUGUCCGGAAUUACUGGGCGUAAAGAGCUCGUAGGUGGUUUGUCGCGUUGUUCGUGAAAACUCACAGCUUAACUGUGGGCGUGCGGGCGAUACGGGCAGACUAGAGUACUGCAGGGGAGACUGGAAUUCCUGGUGUAGCGGUGGAAUGCGCAGAUAUCAGGAGGAACACCGGUGGCGAAGGCGGGUCUCUGGGCAGUAACUGACGCUGAGGAGCGAAAGCGUGGGUAGCGAACAGGAUUAGAUACCCUGGUAGUCCACGCCGUAAACGGUGGGUACUAGGUGUGGGUUUCCUUCCUUGGGAUCCGUGCCGUACUAACGCAUUA